AAAAAUUUAGGAUAACGCGAACUCAAGUAAGACAUAUACGGACAUACAAUUUACUAAUGUGGAUUAUGCAUAAUGGAUCUUUUAAUUUGUUGCAGAGAGUUUACAAAAAAAAAAAAAAUCUGUUGCGGAGCAUGCAUAGCAGAAGGGUUUGACCCGCUUGAAGAAUAAAUUUAGUUUAUCUAGGAAGGGAAGUUUUAAUUUUUUUUUCUUUGUUUUCAUCCGGUUUGAUAGUCACGGGUUUAACAGGAAGUAAGCUGAUUACUAAUCUAGUUCACAUUCAAUCUGGAUCUGCUAUCCUGUCGAUCCAAAAUUUAUUGUGAAACAAAUAUUAUUAUUUCAAACAUUCACAAAAUUGAUAAAAACCAACCAAUAUAUGUUUAUGUUAAAA
This 388-nucleotide long non-coding RNA is filed under the name Capsella rubella. Its description in RNAcentral is "long non-coding RNA (CRUB_LNC004180)". Lineage: Eukaryota; Viridiplantae; Streptophyta; Magnoliopsida; Brassicales; Brassicaceae. The record is from RNAcentral.